CGGCAACAGCUCAAAUUUGAAAUCUGGCUCCUCCGGGGUCCGAGUUGUAAUUUGCAGAAGAUGCUUCGGGUGUGGCGCCGGUCCAAGUUCCUUGGAACAGGACGUCGCAGAGGGUGAGAAUCCCGUAUGUGGUCGCGCGCCUCCCACCCGUGUGAAGCUCUUUCGAC
RNAcentral lists this ribosomal RNA (167 nucleotides) under Cordieritidaceae sp. RNAcentral's name for it is "partial large subunit ribosomal RNA". It matches the Rfam family "Eukaryotic large subunit ribosomal RNA", at positions 99 to 261 of the family's 3401-position model. Lineage: Eukaryota; Fungi; Ascomycota; Leotiomycetes; Helotiales; Cordieritidaceae. The record is from RNAcentral.